This 484-nucleotide ribosomal RNA is filed under the name uncultured bacterium. RNAcentral's name for it is "partial 16S ribosomal RNA". It matches the Rfam family "Bacterial small subunit ribosomal RNA", at positions 30 to 507 of the family's 1533-position model. The record is from RNAcentral.
AUUGAACGCUGGCGGCAGGCCUAACACAUGCAAGUCGAGCGGUUGAAGGGAGCUUGCUCCUGGAUUCAGCAGCGGACGGGUGAGUAAUGCCUAGGAAUCUGCAUGGUAGUGGGGGAGAAGGUCCGGUAACGGGCGCUAAUACCGCAUACGCCUUGAGUGAGAAAGUGGGGGAUCUUCGGAUCUCAGGCUAUCAGAUGAGCCUAGGUCGGAUUAGCUAGUUGGUGGGGUAAAGGCCCACCAAGGCGACGAUCCGUAACUGGUCUGAGAGGAUGAGCAGUCACACUGGAACUGAGACACGGUCCAGACUCCUACGGGAGGCAGCAGUGGGGAAUAUUGGACAAUGGGCGAAAGCCUGAUCCAGCCAUGCCGCGUGUGUGAAGAAGGUCUUCGGAUUGUAAAGCACUUUAAGUGGGGAGGAAGGGCAGUAAGUUAAUACCUUGCUGUUUUGACGUUACCAACAGAAUAAGCACCGGCUAACUUCGUG